UACGAGGGGGGCAAGCGUUGUUCGGAAUUACUGGGCGUAAAGGGCUCGUAGGCGGCCAACUAAGUCGGAUGUGAAAUCCCCAAGCUUAACUUGGGAACUGCAUCCGAUACUGGAUGGCUUGAAUCCGGGAGAGGGAUGCAGAAUUCCAGGUGUAGCGGUGAAAUGCGUAGAUAUCUGGAGGAAUACCGGUGGCGAAGGCGGCAUCCUGGACCGGCAUUGACGCUGAGGAGCGAAGGUCAGGGGAGCAAACGGG
This 253-nucleotide ribosomal RNA is filed under the name uncultured bacterium. RNAcentral describes it as "partial 16S ribosomal RNA". It matches the Rfam family "Bacterial small subunit ribosomal RNA", at positions 524 to 776 of the family's 1533-position model. The record is from RNAcentral.